UAGGGAAUCUUCGGCAAUGGACGAAAGUCUGACCGAGCAACGCCGCGUGAGUGAAGAAGGUUCUCGGAUCGUAAAACUCUGUUGGUAGAGAAGAACGUUGGUGAGAGUGGAAAGCUCAUCAAGUGACGGUAACUACCCAGAAAGGGACGGCUAACUACGUGCCCG
Molecule: ribosomal RNA, 165 nt
Filed under: uncultured bacterium
Lineage: Bacteria
Description: partial 16S rRNA
Rfam family: Bacterial small subunit ribosomal RNA
Source: RNAcentral